Molecule: transfer RNA, 84 nt
Filed under: Candidatus Pacearchaeota archaeon
Lineage: Archaea; Nanobdellati
Description: tRNA-Leu
Rfam family: tRNA
About the family: Transfer RNA (tRNA) molecules are approximately 80 nucleotides in length. Their secondary structure includes four short double-helical elements and three loops (D, anti-codon, and T loops).
Source: RNAcentral
GCGGGGAUGUCGGAGCGGUCAAACGAACGUGGUUUAGGCCCACGUGGCUUAGUGCCUGCAGAGGUUCAAAUCCUCUUCCCCGCA